This 3455-nucleotide unclassified non-coding RNA is filed under the name Mizuhopecten yessoensis (Yesso scallop). RNAcentral's name for it is "ventricular zone-expressed PH domain-containing protein homolog 1-like, transcript variant X1". The record is from RNAcentral. Lineage: Eukaryota; Metazoa; Mollusca; Bivalvia; Pectinida; Pectinidae.
GUUAUCUCCCCUGACCUAUAAAAUAUUGUCUCGUCCGAUGUCUGGAUGACAGUUUUAUAAGUAAAAUGGAAUGUGGUUAAGUGUUUAAAAAAUGCACGAGUUGUUUGCCCAAGUGUUGAAUAAGAAGGAUCUGUCAAAGGCAGGUGACCUUUUCUCCCUCGAUGACCGCGCUAUCAAGGGGGACCUUAUCAGUGUCCUUCAGAAGAUUGGAGAAAUAAUUGACAACAAAGACUAUGCUUCUAACGACAAUGACCAGAGUGUAGUGGAAAUAUGUGUUACCAGGGUUACAACAGCCAUCAGGGAGACUGAGAGUAUUGAGGAGCAUGCCAUUGCCCUAGUACGCCUGUUGGAGCUAUGUCAGAAACACAACUUGAACCCGUCCUCUCAGGAGAAGGAUCCUCCCCAUGCCAAGAUCGCCUCCGACAUCAUGAGCUGCCUCUUUAUGCACUACGGCAAGGGGAAGGUAAUGAUCCUAGCUAUUCCUGUGGUUGUGAACUUUCUAUGCUGUAAUAACAAGGAGCUGGGACGCAAUGUGUCCAGUUACCUGUCUCUGGCUGCACUGGACAACGCUGACCUCCUGGCACGUCACAUGGACCUCAUCCUCAACAGCAUGCUCAGGGGUAACUACAUUCUGAGUACCGUGCUCCCCCAGAUAUUUACCCAGUGUCGACAGGCAGUCAUUGAUCAGACUGAUCGCUUGGUCAAGAUUAUAGACAAGUGUGAGCCAUCAGAGAGGCUUAGUCUCUUCCAGGUGUUUGGGAUGAUAGCCAAGACUGACACUAAAGUGCUUGAAAAGCAUGUUCCAAAAUUUGUAAAAUAUCUGUCCUCAAAUACCUUGUCGCCCAUGAUUUUGUGCCUGUUUGUUGACAUGGCAACAGCCAGUCCACUCAUCUUUGUCGAUCAUGUGUCCACUCUACAGAAGGUUGCCGAGCAACAACCAACAUACAUAGUACAAGUCAUACAGAUCAUGGGCACCCUAGCAACCAUUAACAAGGACUACGCCAGGAAGAGCAUGGAUUAUUUUGUGUCUCAGUUCGGUAGUGCGGACCAGACGGCUCUAACUGUUAUUUUACAGGAGAUUAAGGCACUCAGCUUAAACAACCAUGAUCUCUUGGCUUUGAAUCUCGAAGAAAUCUCAAAAUUGUCUCAAAAUGGAUCCAGUGCUGUCCGGAUUCUUGUCCAGCAACUAAAGGAGGAUAACAAUAAAUACUCAUCGCCUACUCCAACAGAGCCUACUAAACAGACAAGAUCGGUGUCGAGCCAGACGGAGGGAACUGUCACCAUCAUCACUGUGGGCAAUCCUCCAAACGCUGCCUACCCUAGUGGGGCGGUGGCUAUUCGCCACACAGCACUACCACCCAGUAACAUGUCCAGCCAGCAGAGUCUGGCUAAAUCAUCACGGGCUAGUGCUUCCCAAGCACGUCUACCUAUGGAUCGGCCGGUCAGUCCACUGUCCAGUCAGUUCUCAGACCGCAUAUCAAUGACCAGUGCAAUGACAUAUGGCAGUACACAGACUGGUCCUCCUUUACCUCCAGAACCUCUGCGUGAUGGGGUCCAGAACUUCUGUGAGAAACACAUGCCCAUCAUACGGAAUUUUAUAGAGAGUAUGUCCGUGCGUAUCCCUCUGCCUUCUAAGUGCAGCAUAAUCAAUGGGCGCCACAAGCGGUACAUUAGACUCAACUUCCUGUGUGGGGGUCAAGGUGACCAAUGUCUCUAUGGUAACACCUAUUUCUCUCUCAACACCAAAGUACCCAAAACCUGGAUCCAUGUCAUGUUCCUGGCUGUACAGGCCCAGUCUACCUCAGCGCUGAACCAGAAUGAUGGGAGUAUCCAGUCAUUAAGGAGCUGCUGGGACAGUCUUUGGGGAGAACGGAGCAAUUUCCUCACUCUUGUCACUUCCUCAUUCCCUUCCCCUAAGGACCAAGAUAUCCUACUGCAGGAACUGCAAAGCUCUCGGUUCUUUGAUGUAUUUGAGUUCAAUGCUGCCAAGAAGUAUUGGGCCUGUUUUAUGUGCAAUCACCCUGAGAAGACGUUAGAACUGCUACAGAAUGGCAACCCUGUGAUAGCUGGACAACUGAAAGAGAAGAAAGGAAGAUGGAAGUUUUUGAAACGUUGGAAGACCAGAUACUUUACAUUGUCAGGGGCACAGAUCACUUACAACAAGAGUCACUCUAGAAAAGAAACACUUCCAGUCAGCAAGAUUCAGAGUGUUAAAGCUGUUCGUAAGGGUGUCAGAGACAUUCCAAAAGCCUUCGAGAUAUUCACGGGCGAUCAAACCUAUAUGUUCAAGGCCAAAGGACAACAGAACAUAGAACAAUGGGUUCAGUGUCUACACAUCGCAGUGGCACGAGUUCAGACGACAGACAAGGACAAAACCGUGAAAACUAAGGAAAGUGGGACAGAUGUUAUGGGUAACAGUUCAGUGCCAGUCGCUAACACUGGUGAAGUUAGUCCCCAAAAUAAUGUUGUUAUUGAGCGUCCACGCUCUGUGAUGGAUACUAAGUUAUAGCAAUUACAGUAAAACCUAGGGAGGCUUUGGUUGAGUGACUCUCCCUAGAGAGGCUUUGGUUGAGCGACCCUCUCUUAAGAGGUUUUGGUUGAGUGACUCUCCCUAGAGGCUUUGGUUGAGCGACUCUUCCUAGAGAUGCUUUGCCGCUUUGGUUAAGCAAACUAACUAGAGAGGCUUUGGUCGAGUGACCCUCUCUAGAGAGACUUCUGAUGGUUGACCCAGGUACCUAAGGAGGCAUUUUUGUGUGAAUUAUAUAUCUAGGCAGCCAGAUUCCUAGGUAGGUUUGGUUUCCAUAGACCAGAUUCCUAGGUAGGUUUGGUUUCCAUAGACCAGAUUCCUAGGGAGAGUUUGGUUGAAAAAACUAGAUUACUAUAUGAUAUAUAUACGCACGUGGGAUUGUUUGUUUUAACGACUGCAGUGAUACCUAGAAAAGGUUUGUUUAAGCAACCUAGAUACAUAGGGAGGUUUUGGUAGAGUGGCCAAUGCUGGGGAGAUUUUGUUUUAGCAACUUAGAUACCUAGGGAGUUUAUUAGUGAGGGAAGUUUUGGUUGAAUGACCUUCACUACGAAGGCUUUAGCCAAAUGACCCAGAUACCAAGAAAGUUAUAGUGCUGAAGUACCUGGUGAGGGUUUGGUUGAGUGACCUGGAAACCUAUGCAGAGUUUGAGAGAGUGACAAUUUACCUAGAGAGAUUGAAAUCUAGGGAGGAUGUGGUGGAGGGGCCAAGAUAGCUAGACGUCAGAUGUGAAACUUCAAGUGUUCAAUUGAUGGACCAGGAAAUGUAGAUCCAGUCUGGUUUAGCAGCUUAAGUCUGCCUCACGUUCAGGUUUAGUGUCUAGUUAUUCUACAUUUAGUUUGACUUAGCAACUAAUCACCCAUUCACCCCUGAAAUUUCACACUGAAUUAUUCCAACCUUUGAAUUGGAAGAUUUCAAAUUUGUCUUCAGG